This 10836-nucleotide long non-coding RNA is filed under the name Musa acuminata (dwarf banana). RNAcentral's name for it is "long non-coding RNA (MACU_LNC006130)". Lineage: Eukaryota; Viridiplantae; Streptophyta; Magnoliopsida; Zingiberales; Musaceae. The record is from RNAcentral.
GAAUCUGGACGGUUCUUCUUUCGAUCGCACAAUAAUCAACGGAGGAGGAUUUCGUUGGACGGUUCUCCGUUUGCUGUGUGUUCUCACGCACAUCCGAUGGUUUCUAGAACGUCAAGGCGAUUCGCGUGGGUUGUGUUGAACCGUCCAUGCGGAGCUUCUCUCUGCAGACGAAGGAUCGCCGUCCGUUUCUGCAAGUUGGGGGGUGCGGGGUACUUUACUCUUUUGCGUGUGGUUGCUAUUCAUGGGCUGUUAGCCCAACCCGUUUCCGAUCCAUGGACAGCCCAUCAUAAACUUCCAUUUGGGUUGUCUCAAAAUAUAACCGUCGUGACAUCUUAAAACCGCAUCCCAUUUCUCCUCGAGGGAAAGAAAGAUGGGAUCUCGAAGCCCUCAAUCCGAUCACGCCUCCUCUGCCGCCCUCGCCCGUCCAACUUCUUUCUCCUCUCCUUAUGACCGCUCAAGCCCUCCAAAUCCCCACACCUUCAACCCUCUUCGUCGUUUGUCUCCGACGAGAAGGGAGGUGCCAAGAAGAUCUCGGCUCCAAGCCCCUUUCAAACCUAAUGCCUUGCGAUCGAUUCCGCCGUCGAGAACUCACAUGAGAAGAAGAAGAAGAAGAAGGGUCUCCGCGAUUUGCUUUUGAUGAAGGCGAGCGCUCUGUCUGGGCACUGGUACAUCGACGGGUGGAUACCUUAUUGCACUGGACGCGCUGUUAUGUGAGUUGUCUUGUUUCUUUCCUCUUCUUGAUGAAUGGAGUAUGGCUAUUUGGUUAACGGCUGUCGUACAGACAAAUUAUCUGGGGACAGAGGGCAUGCAUCUUUCUCAAUGUUGAUCUUAAUUAAAGAAAAUGAUAUAUUUACUGAGCCUAAAUUCUACGAUAGAUUUUCUGCCAUAGCGAUUGUUAGUGCUGGGAAUGAACUCGUGGGAUGUAGAUAACCUUUAUAGAGAUUUGCUUAUGGAUUUGCAGACUAGCGUAUUUGGAUUUACAUAGAGUUGAGUAGUGAGAUGUACCCAGAGGUACAGUGUAACUAGAUUGAUCAGUUCAUACGGUGGAAUUUUUUAUACAAUCAAUUAUGUAUUUACUGUUCUUGUUAAAUCAAGAAAUGGGUUUCUUAUACAGACUAUAUUCUUUUUCUGUCCUAAUUCUAAGCUAAACUUAUAGUUAUAACUAAAUAUAUUGGAUAAAUUCUUGUUCUGUAAAGAAUUUACCUCUCCGCAAACUCUGGUACAAAGAAAUAAAGACUUCACUGAAAUUGAGUCCUUAUGGAUCAAUGACUUGCAUCAUACUAUACUAAAAGCCUUUCUUAGGUUCACGCAAUCACAUGAUGGGGAUUUCUUAUUCACUUAAUCACACUGUUAGAUCUUAAUUCUUUCUCAUAAUUCUGAUAGCUGGUACUUGAUUAUUAUAUUGCUGAUAGGGGCUUUCUUAUUCACCUUCUUACAAUGUUCAAGAAUGUUGGUUCUUAAUAGUUGUAGUAAACACAAUAUUGCUUACAAGUUUGUGCAUGUUUUGUGAAUAGUAAUGUAGACCAUGAAAGUUGGGGGGAGUUGACUGUACUGGUUACGCAUAUGUCCACCCAUUACUUGCAACCAUAGAUUGGACUCUGUUAUCCAGGUUCAAAUUGUUUUGAAUGGUGACCCUCUGAAUGAUCUGUCCUUUCACUGACUAUAUCGACAAAUUAUGAAGAUACCAAAACUAAAGGAAAAGCUGAAGGAAUUGGCAUGGUGGAUCUCAAGUUGCGGCUGCAAGAAAGGUUUGUUUGGUUUCUUAAAACUUAAGAGACAUCCCUUUAAAUGGGAUCAUGUAAUCUUCCAGCCUUAAUUGAAGAUGCUAAUUGUCAUACUCCACAAAUAACUGUUUUUAUCUUUAGGCUUUGUGGGUUUUGCGUAUACUCAUUAAAUUGCAUGGGUAUACAUCACUAUCAUAGUAGGGAACAAUUUAGUGUCUUUUCAGCUAUAUAUACUUUAUAUGUUCUGACAUCACACUAACUAUAUUUCCUGUAUUCCUUACAAUAACUGAUUAUCCUCUAGCUGUGUUCUUUCAGUUCAUCUACAAGCUGUUUUGGUACUUUCUGUGUUUUACUAUGCUAUAUUGGUUGAUAAUGUCUGUAACAACCAAGCUAGACGUAUGAUGUGAGAUUGUCUUUGCAAUUAAAACUGCACCUAGCCUCAUUGACUCGUGUAGAAACACAAUCAUCAUCUUUAGACUCUAUUAUGUGCUUUAAUAUGUGACCUUUUCUCACACCUUUGAAGGUACAGGACUUGUUUGGUUCUCAAAUUUGUUUGAAGACUGAAAACGGGUACAGCCAUUCGCCCUGCAAAAAUUGGCAUGACCUUGAGCUACAAGAUUCAAGGACCUAUCAAAAUAAUUAAAAUGGACAACAUGAACUAAAGGUUUGGUACGGUUCACUUCAUAUAUUGAAUUCUAGCAUUUGAAACCAACAUUUGUUAUUUUAUGUAGAUCGACUUUGGCCAUCUGUCUGAUUGGUAAUGUGAUCGUGGUGCCAGCAGAGGAUGAAGUUCCGCCUAAAUAGAAAAAAGGCUUCUGAAGAAGAUGAGGAUGCAGAUGAUCUUUUGUCGAAUGCAAGCGACCAGAGCGAGAGGAGAUUGAUAACAUGUCCGUGUCUGGGCAUCUUCCUAUCGAGGAAUUUGACUAUUAUGAUCUCGAUGGAAGUGCUGAUAAGGACUAUGGCACUUGCAAUUGGUAGUGAUAGAGAGAGAGAGAUCCUUCACCCAUGUGGACAUGGUAAUGAUGACGAGGGUGGUUUGGAUGCAUGAUAUGGUGUGGUGAUGAUUUUGAUGACGUAGUAGUGUUGCGAUGGUGGUGGCACCGACCAAUGAUGACAACGGUGAUGAUGAUCAAUCCAAUAUAAUUGGCAAGUGGAAGUUUGACACAUGUUCUCAAGCGUCACAAUCACCAUUUGCUAGUCCUGAAGACGAUGAACGCCUCAUGAUGAAUGACAUGAGGCCCAACGUGAUAAGUCCAGAUCACAUACAGAAUAAGAAAAAGAAUUACAAGUCUAGCCGAGCAUAUUUCUCAGAAAAUGUUCUCUAUAUCCCAUAUGUUUGCAACUUUUAUUACUUCUUGACGUGAUAACAUGUGCAUAGAAGGAAUGCUUUUGUUUAGAAAAAAAAAGAAAAAGGUAAAUGCAAAGAACAUACGACACACUGGCGUCCGGAGAUUCUUUACCGCCUGUGGCGUGAAUGAUCUCUACCCAAUCCUGAUUGAUCCUGCGAACUAAAAGGUAAAUGCAGCCGCGCCGUGUGCAUCAACAGUGGUUUGGCUGUUAUGUAGACCGGGUUAAUUGGUCGUGUUGGGUUGAGCUCUCUGAUUGUCAAAUUACGCCGGACUUCAGUCUCAAUCUCUGCUCGGUCUUGGGGGUCUGCAAGUCGGAUCUGGAUUUCGGUUUAGCGGACGUCCGCACCAUAUCGAUCGGACAGGGAAAAUGGAUGAUGUCGGAGAGAAAGGAACGGGAAAGCUCGCGAUCGACGCACAGGGACGAGGACGAGCCGGAUAUUAAAUCCCAAUUCCCCUUUCCUGUCGCCUUCAUCGGCGCCGCCUCCUGCACCACUGGCCCAACGAAACCCGCCGUCGACGCCCGCCACACUCCCACGCCGCCGUCCCGCCUCUCUGCUUCGAUACGAGACCAAAAUGAUCCGGUCCACCCUAUCAACAGCGGGUUUGGCACACCUUGGAAUGAGAGUAGCCUCGAAUCGUAAGUGCCCGUCUCCUCUGUGCCGCCGACUGCGGCAACGAGGACCGCACCAAUUCCCCUACACCCCGAACGUCUCCACCCUUUGCUUUCUCUCUUUCGGCGCCGCCAUUUCUCCUUUCCCCAUUUCCUCAACUCCACUGGAUCUUCGCUCUCUGCCCCGGUGGACCACCACAACGCUCUAUUACUGAUUGCGGCCCAGCCAACGUCCCCCAAUUCCCGUGGGUGGGCCUAACCGAGCUGGACAAAGAUAUGGGAUUUCGCUAUUUAAAGAAGACUGACGCGGCCCGAUCCAUGUCCUGUGGGUACGAGUACGGCUCGUGAGCUUACCGUCAAAUAGUCCGACGGCAAAACAACCCCAAAAAAUUGUUUUUGGGGUCUGAAACCCUUCGACAACGCUCCUUAUUCCUACCUGCGGUUACUGGAUGACGUAACGAAAAUUGACACGUGUUUAUUCGGCAAUGAAUCACCUCUACCCCAUGUCCGGUACAUCCGCCAGCUCCUCACUCCCGCCGACAGCGCUGCCCCCACACCCGUCGCCGAUCUCUUCCUCCCCCACCGUGCUAACUUACGAUCGACCACCCUCGUCUCCAUCCUCUUUUUCCCCCGCCACAUUAUAUUGCAUUGACUACUACGGGCUCCCGACCGCCCCGUGCUCUUUCACGACCACACUGGCCUUGUCUGGUGAUGCUGCCAUCUCCACCGCCGCCGCCAAAAUUGAGUCGAAGGACAGAGGGUAAGUAACUAAGAUGCGCCCAUGACCGUUUCGGUGGCCACUCUGUUCCGAUCUGAUACGAGUACCUCCCUGUGUGCUUACCGUAUAUCAGUUUGGCGUCAAACUAGCCCAAAAAAAUUUUUUUGGGCCUUCAAACGCUUCAUGAUGUCGUUGUUAACUUGACCUACGGUGACCGGAUCUGGACGAGCAUCUGAGAUUAUUUAUGAGAAUUCGCGAAUCUCAAAGCACCGCCGCCGUAGUCUUCCUGCGCGCCACCCCAGUAGAGUCGGCGGACAGAGGGUAACUACGAUGGGCCCGUGUGCUUGAGCCCGUGAACCAUGGAACUACGCUUCACCGGGUCGCACUAUUCGAGUUGAUACAAGGACCGCCCCGUGUACUUACCGUCCGUCAGUUUAGCGUCAAAAUAGCCCCAAAAAAAAUUUUCGGGCCCUCAAACGCUUCAUGAUCUCGCUCUUAACAUAACCCACGGUGACCAGAUCUGGACGAGCAUCUGAGAUUAUUUGAGAUUUCACGAAUCUCAAAGCACCGGCCCAUCCCAUCCGUGGCGGCCGCGUGCUCCUGCAUGCCGCCGACACCCUCGCCGCCUUCUCUUCCUCAACCGGCGGCGUUACCUUCGAUCGCCUACUCGGGUCUGGCUUCAUUCCAUGAUCGUCGAAUUUGACGCCUACGUCGGUCUCGCUCGUAACUGUGUAGAUAAAUGCACCCAUCAUCCGCCGUAGUUGCCGACAAAGGGCAAGUCCUUCUCCUAAUAAGUGGCGGCGCUGAGCUUGAAUGAGUUUUGAGUGACGGCGGCGGCGCCUCAUCCGACAAUCAUGACCAGAUCAUGCUAACUUGUACAGUGAUCUAAUAUCAAUCACCACGCCCACCGACCGUCAUCACGAACAGGAAGGUCUUCUUCCCACGCACCAUUGAGUCAAAACCUAGCUGGGCCCAGUCAUCUACACCUUUAUUUUCAAAAGCCGGCCCACUCGACCCAUAUCACAGCGAGUACGAAUACCUUUCGUACGUUUACCGCCUAUCAUCCUGACGACAAAGAGAGCCACAAGUAUUUUCUUUUGUCCUCAAAACCCGAUCUCGAGUUCUAUAUUCGUAACCGGAAUCGAUUCAUGGAAUGAUUUCUUUUUCUCUUUAGUUUUUUUGGACUCUUCAAAAUGAUGCGUGACUAUGCACGAACCAUAAAACAUCGACUCGUACAUAAUGUAUUUUUCUUUUGAACUCCUCAUAAGAUCUCAAUCCGAGACAAAAAUGCCUGUUGAUAAUGCAUAAUACAUCUCUUCAGCAAUUUCGAAGGAAGUCCCCCCAUCCCCAUGUCAAUGCAUAAAUAGCAACCACCAUUGAUGUUGAUCAUUUGCAUUACAACUAGAAACAGCUGCAAGGUUGGCAGAUGGGGUGGAGCUGAGCAGAACAUUGAAAUCUCAUGUUUAGGUACCCGAUACAAUGACAGCCACUGUCCAAGUUCGUACAUAUGUAAAUCUUUGGUACAAAUUACAUGUUCGUUGUCAUUCGUUCAAGCAGUCCAUGUAUCCCAACAACAUGAUUAAAACAAGAAUUAAACAAUCCAAUUUCCUGCAGUACUCACCGUGUCGAGAGAAUCAAUUCAAAUCUAGAAAUUUUGCAACAAUACCAGUCCAUCAUAAGGGUGAACAACUUAAACCAACGAAUAUAAAUAAUCCACAUCGAUGCAACACUAGGCAAAUAACAGGUUUUAAUCUGGAUACUUACUACAGCAGGAUUCAAACUAACAAGGAAGCAUCUUCAACAGAGGUUCUUCAGCAGAGAGCAACUGUUCUAAUGACCAUACUUCUGGAACUCCCACUCACUGUUAUCUGCAGAAAAAUAUAGCUUUUUUGUAUCAGCGACAGCACAUGCUACAUGCAGCAGUAAAAUCUGAGGCCGUAUAACAAAAGAAUGGUUACCCAAAGGACAAACUUGACGAGUCUUGAGCCAGCGACUGAUACAAUGGAAAUGGAAGGCAUGAUUACAGACACCUGAAGAACAUCAAACACAGACAAUAAAAAAAAGAGCAGGACUUCAAUAUUUUGAGUAGAGGACAAGAUCAGAUACAUCAACUGGAGUCUUUUCAGGUGCCAAGGAUAAGCCUCAAAAGAAAUUAGGCACUCUUCUUUCUAACCAGGGUAAGGGUAUUCAAAAUUCAGGUUAGAAUGAGGAACAUAUACCAAUUCAAAUGCUCAGAGAAAAAAAAUAUAUUAAUGAAAGGAAAUAUUUAGAUAUAUUAGAUGAAAGAAAACAAUAGGUUAAAGGCACAAAAAGAAAUACAAGUUUGCUCCGUCACCACUGUGUUUGCAUCUUGGUACUAGUUAUCUAGCUUACAUCAAUCUGGUACCACAGCAAGUUUGAAAAUUUGGUAAAAGAAUAUUGCUUAAUAAGCGUAGAUAUUGCUUCGUUUACGGAAGCAAAUUCUGAUUCGUGUCUUCCUACCAUAAAAAUAAUAAAACCCCCCUCACCUUCACUCUGUUUAUUCAUACCAUUCUAUUGGUGCUUGAAUCAAUUUGGUGCCAAGCCAGCACCAUUAUGUUCUACCGUCAGGGUUGCUCCUUAGUAGAUCUAUACCAAAGGAUACAAGAAACAAAAGAGAGAAAAUCGCAAGCAACAGCAGGGAUACUACAAUUGGAAGGAACACUCUCUUCAACAGAAGCAGUAAAAUGAAAUUCAACAUACAGAUCAAAAGUCAGAAUGUCUAAAGUAGCUUUACAAGACAUUUGAGUAUUAAAGGGCAUAUGAAGAAAAUUAUAGAAAAUAGAAAGCAAAUGUGAAGAAAUCUGCAUCAAAUGAAAUUUUGGAAGGAACACUCUCUUCAACAGAAGCAGUAAAAUGAAAUUCAACAUACAGAUCAAAAGUCAGAAUGUCUAAAGUAGCUUUACAAGACAUUUGGGUAUUAAAGGGCAUAUGAAGAAAAUUAUAGAAAAUAGAAAGCAAAUGUGAAGAAAUCUGCAUCAAUUCAGAAAGAAAUUAAAAAUCCAAAAUAUAAAAACUGGAUGCCAAGCAAAGACAAUGACAUCCAUUGCAAGAGAUUAAAAGAAACUUCUACUUCUUCAUUUGCUAAUCCUCAUAAAAAGAAAGUUUAUUAUGGAUGUUAGGCCCAGUAUGAUUGCGCUCAAAUAACAUAUCAUUUAAACACUAAAAGAUGUAGAUGAUCAAAGAGCCAAAAGAACAUGAUAUUGGUUUUACAACAACUAAUGAAUUCACAAGUAACGAGCAAAAUCAAAGAGAAGAACAGCAUCUUUCCUCAGUUGCAAAAAUCACCACUGAACUACUGAUCCAGCAUCUAAAUACACCAGAAACUUCCUAAAUCCAUUUGUCAUUAAAGCUGAUGUAUCAAAAUGGCCACAUACACUGUUGAUUCUAUGCCCGAGAUUGAAGAAAUUGAAUUUCAAUAUAUGUUUCUGUGUUUUUUGCUUCAAAAGAUCAGAUAACAAAUUAAUACAUCCCAAUCCAAAUGAACUUAUCUUUUUCUUUUUGUUUAAUUAAUUCUAGAUUAGAUUUCAACUCCUCUUUUAUCAAUUAGACAUUGAGUUUGUAUCAAAAUAGACUAUCUUAUCAUUAAUUUGGGCCUUAUAUUCUAUUGAAAUCAAAAUAUGAUAAGAUAUUAUAUUUAGCAGGUCCAGAUGAUAUAAUAGGAUCCUUAUAUUGUACAACAUUAGUAGUAUUUGAGUUGUUAACCUAAAAUAAAUCAAAUUGUACCAUAUUGACAAUAACAAUGAAUUUUUUGGGUAAUUAGGCCUUGCAUUCUCCCUAUUCUUCUUCGUAUCAGGUGUUCCUUUCCAAAUUCUAGUAUUCUCGCAAUUCAUAAUAUCCUAACCCUCUUACACUUUCACUCAUUAAUACAUAUCAUAACUAAACCAAAUUGGUUAUUGGUUUGGUUAUAUUUUGCAUGAAUAUGUUGUUUUUGCUUGGUCAUGGUUGCUAUAUCAAAUAACAAUUGUGGGCUUACCCUACCAUGCCACUCUAUUUGCUUCCAAAGAGAUGGCCAUAGUUGUGAGGAAAACCAUGUAAGCAAGUGAAUAGAGAAGCAAGCAAUUAACCAUAAAAUUGCAGAACUGAUUGGUUGCAAAAAGAUGGCUUGAAAAUAUUGCAUCAUGUUUCAUAAAUUUAAUGCUAAAAAAUAAAUAUGGAAAAGAAACAGACGUGAGCAGGAAAAUGUGUCAAAGGGAACCUCCUCGACAAACAAAAAAUAAAACAACAUCUUCCAACUUCAUAUAAGUUAUGUCUACAAUCUCUUUAAUCUGUCCAAGAGACUAAACAACUAGCAAAAGUUUAGCCUAGGUUGACUCAACAUUUUACUCUUACUCUUGAGCAAGGUUCGUAAUUUCGUACCGUACCAGAGUAUCGAGUUCAGUUCGAUACAGUACGAGUAUACUGAGUGGUACGUCGGUAUAUAUAUAUAUAUAUACAUAUAUAUAUAUAUAAGAGUUAAAAAAUAAAAAAGGGGCGACGCCGUCGAGGUGACUUCGUGUCGUUUCUUCUCCCCGCGUGGAGAGAAGAAAACCUCGAAGCCUCGACGACGUCGCCAAGGUUUGUUCUCCACACGCCAAGGCUUCUUCUCCCCGCGCAAAUUAGAAGUCACCAACAACGCCGAGGUUUUUUCUCCCCGCGCAAAUUAGGAGAAGUCACCGACGACGCCAAGGCCUCGUCGCCUCGGACGAGGAGGGGACAUCUCAUCUGCGGAGUCUGGCGAGGGAGGGCGAUGACGGAUCGGGAUCGUCGAGGGAGAGCGACGCCGGAUCUCUAGGUUCUCCCAUUUCUUCUCCCUCGGCUAAAACCGUCCGGUAGCGGGCGACGAUGGUCGAUGGCAACGGUCGAAAUCGACCAUCACCGACCUAUUUCGGGUGGUAACAGGGCGAAAACAGUCCCAAUCAAUGGUACCGCUCGAUAACGAGCGAUCCGCCUACCUAUCUGCUAGUGGACCGGUACGUACCGUCCCGUACAGACGAUAUCAUUAGAAAUUAGAAACCCUGCUCUUGAGUACAUUAGAGUUCAUCAUGAGGUGAUCAUAACAAGGGUUGAGAUAGGCACAAGGAUAGAGAUCCACGGGGCACAAUAAAAUUGAAGUUCAGUGGAGGAGGAAAAUUACAGCCUAGUAAAGGAAAAAUGAGAUGCCCAUGAAAGACUUUUCAAGUUUGGUAAAAGUAUCAUGUUUCUGCCCCAAAAAAUAAUGACAUAAAAACCUAAAUAAAACCAAUAAAAGAAUUGGGUUCACCAAACAAAAAUAUGAAAUCAACUUAAGUGAAACUACAGAGUCAGUAUGUGGCGUGAAUGGAUAUGUAAAAUCUUACAUAUGUUUAUGCAGCCUCACAUGACCAUCUCACAUAUGUUUAUGCAGCCUCAGUAUGUGGCGUGAAUGGAUAUGUAAAAUCUUGCGCACUGAAAUAAGCAUGAAAACACAUUUGUAUAUGUUCACAUUACCCGGUCUUUACUACUGCUUCAUAUAUUCUAUUAUUUGGUUUCAUGACAUAUGAUCUGUGAUAAUAUGAGAUUCAUCACUUUAGGAUUUUUACUCAUUUCAUAUGACUUCGACCUUGAAUAGGUUCUUAGACUUUACGGAUGCUGAUUUUUAUAUUUUAAUUGAACCUCAUAAGCAGCCAGGUAAGACAUGUUUGAUACGCAAUACCUGAGGUUCCUCAUACCAUAACAACUAAUUAGAGCAUUAAUUUAAACACAAUCACAAGACUAGCCUGCCUCAAUCAAUCUUCAGCAUAGAGUAUCAACAGAAGCAAAAUGCUUUACUUCCAGAGUAAGUCUUCCCUUUUCACACGAUGAAUGAAUCCCAUGAAUCAACGAUAGCUUACCCUUAGAGAGCACCAGUCAGAUUUGUAACUUGACAAUUAAUCUCUUACAUGAUACUAACAUUUAUAAUAACUCAAAGAUCAUUGCUUAUGAAUUAGCAACACGACAGACAGAUCAAAGAAUAAAAAAAACCUUGCAGAAGUUGCCAACUUCGGCACCUAUGAGUGUGCCAAAAUAAGUUGAAAUUAACAUGCUGUAAAAGCAGCCUGAAAUUGUGCUGGUCAGUUUGUAGGAUGAACUAUGCAAAAACUAGUACAUGCAACCAAAACAGUGAAUAAUCAUUUCGACAACAGAACAGAAAAUUACAAGAUCAAACGUACGGGAAAGAUGUCUGUAACUUGUUGGUUACCAACUUUUCAUAAAAGGGAAACUAUAUCAUACGAUCAUCCAAAGAGAAACCAAAGAUAGUGCAUACCCCAAGCCACCGUGCACUCUUCACUGGUGGCACUCGCCUGAUUAGCCUGGCACUCGAUGCCUGCAAAGGAUUCAAGAAAAUGACCGUCAAAACCCGGAGCAAAUAACAAGUUCAAGAACCCUAACCCUAAAUACAAACAAGAAUCAGCACACAAGACAAGGAAAAUCAAGAAA